UACGUAGGUGGCAAGCGUUGUCCGGAUUUACUGGGCGUAAAGAGCGCGCAGGCGGUUGGAUAAGUCGAAUGUGAAAGCCCCCGGCUCAACUGGGGAGGGUCAUUCGAUACUGUCCGACUCGAAGGCAGGAGAGGGAAGCGGAAUUCCCAGUGUAGAGGUGAAAUUCGUAGAUAUUGGGAAGAACACCGGUGGCGAAGGCGGCGAGCUGGCCCGUUUCUGACGCUGAGGCGCGACAGCGUGGGGAGCAAACAGG
Molecule: ribosomal RNA, 253 nt
Filed under: uncultured bacterium
Lineage: Bacteria
Description: partial 16S ribosomal RNA
Rfam family: Bacterial small subunit ribosomal RNA
Source: RNAcentral